RNAcentral lists this ribosomal RNA (468 nucleotides) under uncultured bacterium. Its description in RNAcentral is "partial 16S ribosomal RNA". It matches the Rfam family "Bacterial small subunit ribosomal RNA", at positions 28 to 507 of the family's 1533-position model. The record is from RNAcentral.
GACGAACGCUGGCGGCGUGCUUAACACAUGCAAGUCGAACGGAAAGGCCCUGCUCUUGUGGGGCGCUCGAGUGGCGAACGGGUGAGUAACACGUGAGUAACCUGCCCUUGUCUUUGGGAUAACUCCAGGAAACUGGGGCUAAUACCCGAUAGGAGCUCCUGCUGCAUGGUGGGGGUUGGAAAGUUUCGGCGGUUGGGGAUCGACUCGCGGCUUAUCAGCUUGUUUGUGGGGUAGUGGCUUUCAAAGGCUUUGACGGGUAGCCGGCCUGAGAGGGUGACCGGCCACAUGGGGACUGAGAGACGGCCCAGACUCCUACGGGAGGCAGCAGUGGGGAAUAUUGCACAGUGGGCGGAAGCCUGAUGCAGCAACGCCGCGUGCGGGAUGACGGCCUUCGGGUUGUAAACCGCUUUCGCCUGUGACGAAGCGUGAGUGACGGUAAUGGGUAAAGAAGCACCGGCUAACUACGUG